This 425-nucleotide ribosomal RNA is filed under the name Megisto opalina. RNAcentral's name for it is "partial 28S ribosomal RNA". Lineage: Eukaryota; Metazoa; Arthropoda; Insecta; Lepidoptera; Nymphalidae. The record is from RNAcentral.
AAACCUGCGAAACUCGAAUGAACGAACGGAGAGAUUCAUCGACAUCCGACGGCGUACGGGCGCGCGCUUCGAUGUCGCGCCGGCUCCCCUCGUGGGUGUCGUGUGCGGCACGGGUCGCGUUCGAACGUCCGUCGGCGUCGUGCACUUCUCUCUUAGUAAUGCAUCGCGACCCGUUCCCUGUUGGCUUAAGCGCCGUUCGAUUCGCCCAGUGGUAGGCUUUUGACUACCGCUGGACCGUGACGGUCGCCGGCCGGCGGGGGACGGUAUUCGUAUGAAACGCGCACGCGCCUCGUGCGCGUCCGGCCCGACGCAAGCUCGCGCCGUACCUCGGUCGCGGUCCUGCCUAUGUGCGGACCGCGACGCGGUGCCGCUGUCGUCGCAGCCGUGUUGUCUCGGACAGUGCGUGUCUCAGUCUGCGAUGAGUC